RNAcentral lists this ribosomal RNA (196 nucleotides) under uncultured bacterium. RNAcentral's name for it is "partial 16S ribosomal RNA". It matches the Rfam family "Bacterial small subunit ribosomal RNA", at positions 338 to 524 of the family's 1533-position model. The record is from RNAcentral.
CCUACGGGAGGCAGCAGCCGCGGUAAUAUUGGACAAUGGGCGAAAGCCUGAUCCAGCCAUGCCGCGUGUGUGAAGAAGGUCUUCGGAUUGUAAAGCACUUUAAGUUGGGAGGAAGGGCAGUAAGUUAAUACCUUGCUGUUUUGACGUUACCAACAGAAUAAGCACCGGCUAACUUCGUGCCAGCAGCCGCGGUAAU